CAGGCAAGGUACAACUUUUCUUACUCCCUCUAAAAACUCAGGCGAGGUUAUAGCGAACCAUCACAUGCAGUCUAUCUCAUUCGCAUCAGGAGGAGAUCCUGAGACACAAGGACUAUGUGGCCUAUGUAGCAAAGGACCCAGUAAACUCCAGAAGGUA
Long non-coding RNA from Branchiostoma floridae (Florida lancelet), 157 nucleotides. RefSeq lists it as uncharacterized. The transcript is spliced from 3 exons. The record is from RefSeq and is a predicted model, not a curated record. NCBI's taxonomy places the organism in Eukaryota, Metazoa, Chordata, Leptocardii, Amphioxiformes, Branchiostomatidae.